Molecule: transfer RNA, 70 nt
Filed under: Dipodomys ordii (Ord's kangaroo rat)
Lineage: Eukaryota; Metazoa; Chordata; Mammalia; Rodentia; Heteromyidae
Rfam family: tRNA
About the family: Transfer RNA (tRNA) molecules are approximately 80 nucleotides in length. Their secondary structure includes four short double-helical elements and three loops (D, anti-codon, and T loops).
Source: Rfam by way of RNAcentral
GGGAAUGUGGCUUAGUGGUAGAGUGCUUGCCUAGCAUGCAUGAAGUCCUGGGUUUAAUUCCUCAGUACCA